RNAcentral lists this ribosomal RNA (1481 nucleotides) under uncultured organism. Its description in RNAcentral is "SSU rRNA". It matches the Rfam family "Bacterial small subunit ribosomal RNA". The record is from RNAcentral.
GCGGCGUGCCUAAUACAUGCAAGUCGAACGAGUUCUGAUUAUUGAAAGGUGCUUGCAUCUUGAUUUAAUUUUGAACGAGUGGCGGACGGGUGAGUAACACGUGGGUAACCUGCCCUUAAGUGGGGGAUAACAUUUGGAAACAGAUGCUAAUACCGCAUAAAUCCAAAAACCGCAUGGUUCUUGGCUGAAAGAUGGCGUAAGCUAUCGCUUUUGGAUGGGCCCGCGGCGUAUUAGCUAGUUGGUGAGGUAACGGCUCACCAAGGCAAUGAUACGUAGCCGAACUGAGAGGUUGAUCGGCCACAUUGAGACUGAGACACGGCCCAAACUCCUACGGGAGGCAGCAGUAGGGAAUCUUCCACAAUGGACGCAAGUCUGAUGGAGCAACGCCGCGUGAGUGAAGAAGGCUUUCGGGUCGUAAAACUCUGUUGUUGGAGAAGAAUGGUCGGCAGAGUAACUGUUGUCGGCGUGACGGUAUCCAACCAGAAAGCCACGGCUAACUACGUGCCAGCAGCCGCGGUAAUACGUAGGUGGCAAGCGUUAUCCGGAUUUAUUGGGCGUAAAGCGAGCGCAGGCGGUUUUUUAAGUCUGAUGUGAAAGCCCUCGGCUUAACCGAGGAAGUGCAUCGGAAACUGGGAAACUUGAGUGCAGAAGAGGACAGUGGAACUCCAUGUGUAGCGGUGAAAUGCGUAGAUAUAUGGAAGAACACCAGUGGCGAAGGCGGCUGUCUGGUCUGUAACUGACGCUGAGGCUCGAGAGCAUGGGUAGCGAACAGGAUUAGAUACCCUGGUAGUCCAUGCCGUAAACGAUGAAUGCUAGGUGUUGGAGGGUUUCCGCCCUUCAGUGCCGCAGCUAACGCAUUAAGCAUUCCGCCUGGGGAGUACGACCGCAAGGUUGAAACUCAAAGGAAUUGACGGGGGCCCGCACAAGCGGUGGAGCAUGUGGUUUAAUUCGAAGCAACGCGAAGAACCUUACCAGGUCUUGACAUCUUUUGAUCACCUGAGAGAUCAGGUUUCCCCUUCGGGGGCAAAAUGACAGGUGGUGCAUGGUUGUCGUCAGCUCGUGUCGUGGGAUGUUGGGUUAAGUCCCGCAACGAGCGCAACCCUUAUGACUAGUUGCCAGCAUUUAGUUGGGCACUCUAGUAAGACUGCCGGUGACAAACCGGAGGAAGGUGGGGAUGACGUCAAAUCAUCAUGCCCCUUAUGACCUGGGCUACACACGUGCUACAAUGGAUGGUACAACGAGUUGCGAGACCGCGAGGUCAAGCUAAUCUCUUAAAGCCAUUCUCAGUUCGGACUGUAGGCUGCAACUCGCCUACACGAAGUCGGAAUCGCUAGUAAUCGCGGAUCAGCACGCCGCGGUGAAUACGUUCCCGGGCCUUGUACACACCGCCCGUCACACCAUGAGAGUUUGUAACACCCGAAGCCGGUGGCGUAACCCUUUUAGGGAGCGAGCCGUCUAAGGUGGGACAAAUGAUUAGGGUG